This 853-nucleotide ribosomal RNA is filed under the name uncultured bacterium. RNAcentral's name for it is "bacterial SSU rRNA". It matches the Rfam family "Bacterial small subunit ribosomal RNA", at positions 544 to 1397 of the family's 1533-position model. The record is from RNAcentral.
UCCGGAUUUACUGGGUGUAAAGGGCGCGUAGGCGGGAUAGCAAGUCAGUCGUGAAAUACCGAGGCUCAACCUCGGGGCUGCGAUUGAAACUGUUAUUCUUGAGUAUCGGAGAGGAAAGCGGAAUUCCUAGUGUAGCGGUGAAAUGCGUAGAUAUUAGGAGGAACACCAGUGGCGAAGGCGGCUUUCUGGACGACAACUGACGCUGAGGCGCGAAAGUGUGGGGAGCAAACAGGAUUAGAUACCCUGGUAGUCCACACCGUAAACGAUGGAUACUAGGUGUAGGAGGUAUCGACCCCUUCUGUGCCGCAGUUAACACAAUAAGUAUCCCACCUGGGGAGUACGACCGCAAGGUUGAAACUCAAAGGAAUUGACGGGGGCCCGCACAAGCAGUGGAGUAUGUGGUUUAAUUCGAAGCAACGCGAAGAACCUUACCUGGGCUUGACAUCCCGACGACCGCUCUAGAGAUAGAGUUUUUCUUCGGAACGUCGGUGACAGGUGGUGCAUGGUUGUCGUCAGCUCGUGUCGUGAGAUGUUGGGUUAAGUCCCGCAACGAGCGCAACCCCUGUUGUCAGUUGCCAUCAUUAAGUUGGGCACUCUGACGAGACUGCCGGUGACAAAUCGGAGGAAGGUGGGGACGACGUCAAAUCAUCAUGCCCCUUAUGCCCAGGGCUACACACGUACUACAAUGGCCGGUAACAAAGUGCAGCGAUACCGUGAGGUGGAGCGAAUCACAAAACCCGGUCUCAGUUCAGAUUGCAGGCUGCAACUCGCCUGCAUGAAGUUGGAAUUGCUAGUAAUCGCGAAUCAGAAUGUCGCGGUGAAUACGUUCCCGGGCCUUGCACACACCGCCCGU